This 580-nucleotide ribosomal RNA is filed under the name Stenotrophomonas maltophilia. RNAcentral's name for it is "bacterial SSU rRNA". It matches the Rfam family "Bacterial small subunit ribosomal RNA", at positions 77 to 654 of the family's 1533-position model. The record is from RNAcentral. Lineage: Bacteria; Pseudomonadati; Pseudomonadota; Gammaproteobacteria; Lysobacterales; Lysobacteraceae.
UGCUCUCUGGGUGGCGAGUGGCGGACGGGUGAGGAAUACAUCGGAAUCUACUUUUUCGUGGGGGAUAACGUAGGGAAACUUACGCUAAUACCGCAUACGACCUACGGGUGAAAGCAGGGGAUCUUCGGACCUUGCGCGAUUGAAUGAGCCGAUGUCGGAUUAGCUAGUUGGCGGGGUAAAGGCCCACCAAGGCGACGAUCCGUAGCUGGUCUGAGAGGAUGAUCAGCCACACUGGAACUGAGACACGGUCCAGACUCCUACGGGAGGCAGCAGUGGGGAAUAUUGGACAAUGGGCGCAAGCCUGAUCCAGCCAUACCGCGUGGGUGAAGAAGGCCUUCGGGUUGUAAAGCCCUUUUGUUGGGAAAGAAAUCCAGCUGGUUAAUACCCGGUUGGGAUGACGGUACCCAAAGAAUAAGCACCGGCUAACUUCGUGCCAGCAGCCGCGGUAAUACGAAGGGUGCAAGCGUUACUCGGAAUUACUGGGCGUAAAGCGUGCGUAGGUGGUCGUUUAAGUCCGUUGUGAAAGCCCUGGGCUCAACCUGGGAACUGCAGUGGAUACUGGGCGACUAGAAUGUGGUAG